Molecule: unclassified non-coding RNA, 253 nt
Filed under: uncultured Pseudomonadaceae bacterium
Lineage: Bacteria; Pseudomonadati; Pseudomonadota; Gammaproteobacteria; Pseudomonadales; Pseudomonadaceae
Description: contains 16S-23S intergenic spacer region
Rfam family: Bacterial small subunit ribosomal RNA
Source: RNAcentral
UACGGAGGGUGCAGUUGUUAAUGGGAAUUACUGGGCGUAAAGCGCGCGUGGGGGGGUUGUUAAGUUGGAUGUGAAAGCCCCGGGCUCAACCUGGGAACUGCAUCCAAAACUGGCAAGCUAGAGUACGGUAGAGGGUGGUGGAAUUUCCUGUGUAGCGGUGAAAUGCGUAGAUAUAGGAAGGAACACCAGUGGCGAAGGCGACCACCUGGACUGAUACUGACACUGAGGUGCGAAAGCGUGGGGAGCAAACAGG